This 492-nucleotide ribosomal RNA is filed under the name uncultured bacterium. RNAcentral's name for it is "partial 16S ribosomal RNA". It matches the Rfam family "Bacterial small subunit ribosomal RNA", at positions 29 to 507 of the family's 1533-position model. The record is from RNAcentral.
AGUGAACGCUGGCGGUAGGCCUAACACAUGCAAGUCGAACGGCAGCACAGUAAGAGCUUGCUCUUACGGGUGGCGAGUGGCGGACGGGUGAGGAAUAAAUCGGAAUCUACUUUUUCGUGGGGGAUAACGUAGGGAAACUUACGCUAAUACCGCAUACGACCUACGGGUGAAAGCAGGGGAUCUUCGGACCUUGCGCGAUUGAAUGAGCCGAUGUCGGAUUAGCUAGUUGGCGGGGUAAAGGCCCACCAAGGCGACGAUCCGUAGCUGGUCUGAGAGGAUGAUCAGCCACACUGGAACUGAGACACGGUCCAGACUCCGACGGGAGGCAGCAGUGGGGAAUAUUGGACAAUGGGCGCAAGCCUGAUCCAGCCAUACCGCGUGGGUGAGGAAGGCCUUCGGGUUGUAAAGCCCUUUUGUUGGGAAAGAAAAGCAGCAGGUUAAUACCCCGCUGUUCUGACGGUACCCAAAGAAUAAGCACCGGCUAACUUCGUG